UCUAAAUGUAGCUUGAUUAGUUUUAGUGCUACUCAUUGUUCACAAAGCUGGAAAUUUCAUUCAAUAUUGUGGUUAUUUCUCAUUUAUGUCAAUAUUGUCCCUCAUUUAUGUGGCUAUUUUUCAUGUUAAGAAUGUUUAUUUUUUGUCUUUGGGUCUGUUAUAAGAUCUUAUGUGCAAUUUCCUUUCAUCUCAAGUUAGCGAUGUAUUCUUAGUAUAUCUUUUCUUGUAUCUCGUAAGUUAGUCGUUAUGUAUUUCCAUUCUUUGUUCUUGGAUACUAGCUGGUGCUU
This 287-nucleotide long non-coding RNA is filed under the name Solanum tuberosum (potato). RNAcentral's name for it is "long non-coding RNA (STUB_LNC004685)". The record is from RNAcentral. Lineage: Eukaryota; Viridiplantae; Streptophyta; Magnoliopsida; Solanales; Solanaceae.